This 495-nucleotide ribosomal RNA is filed under the name uncultured bacterium. Its description in RNAcentral is "partial 16S ribosomal RNA". It matches the Rfam family "Bacterial small subunit ribosomal RNA", at positions 30 to 507 of the family's 1533-position model. The record is from RNAcentral.
UGAACGCUGGCGGCGUGCCUAAUACAUGCAAGUCGAGCGAACAGAUGAGGAGCUUGCUCCUCUGACGUUAGCGGCGGACGGGUGAGUAACACGUGGAUAACCUACCUAUAAGACUGGGAUAACUUCGGGAAACCGGAGCUAAUACCGGAUAAUAUAUUGAACCGCAUGGUUCAAUAGUGAAAGACGGUUUUGCUGUCACUUAUAGAUGGAUCCGCGCCGCAUUAGCUAGUUGGUAAGGUAACGGCUUACCAAGGCAACGAUGCGUAGCCGACCUGAGAGGGUGAUCGGCCACACUGGAACUGAGACACGGUCCAGACUCCUACGGGAGGCAGCAGUAGGGAAUCUUCCGCAAUGGGCGAAAGCCUGACGGAGCAACGCCGCGUGAGUGAUGAAGGUCUUCGGAUCAUAAAACUCUGUUAUUAGGGAAGAACAAAUGUGUAAGUAACUAUGCACGUCUUGACGGUACCUAAUCAGAAAGCCACGGCUAACUACGUG